CGAGACCUUAACCUGCUAAAUAGUCCGCGUAACCUCUGUGUUGCGUGCUUGGCUUCUUAGAGGGACUAUCGGUAUCCAACCGAUGGAAGUUUGAGGCAAUAACAGGUCUGUGAUGCCCUUAGAUGUUCUGGGCUGCACGCGCGCUACACUGAUGUGUUCAACGAGUUUUCAACCUUGCCUGGAAAGGUUUGGUAAUCUUGAACAGGCAUCGUGAUGGGGAUUGUUUAUUGCAAUUAUUAACCUUCAACGAGGA
RNAcentral lists this ribosomal RNA (253 nucleotides) under uncultured eukaryote. Its description in RNAcentral is "partial Eukaryotic small subunit ribosomal RNA". It matches the Rfam family "Eukaryotic small subunit ribosomal RNA", at positions 1336 to 1609 of the family's 1831-position model. The record is from RNAcentral.